RNAcentral lists this ribosomal RNA (498 nucleotides) under uncultured bacterium. Its description in RNAcentral is "partial 16S ribosomal RNA". It matches the Rfam family "Bacterial small subunit ribosomal RNA", at positions 30 to 523 of the family's 1533-position model. The record is from RNAcentral.
AUUGAACGCUGGCGGCAUGCCUUACACAUGCAAGUCGAACGGUAACAGGUCUUCGGAUGCUGACGAGUGGCGAACGGGUGAGUAAUACAUCGGAACGUGCCUAGUAGUGGGGGAUAACUACUCGAAAGAGUGGCUAAUACCGCAUGAGAUCUACGGAUGAAAGCAGGGGAUCGCAAGACCUUGUGCUACUAGAGCGGCCGAUGGCAGCUUAGGUAGUUGGUGGGAUAAAAGCUUACCAAGCCGACGAUCUGUAGCUGGUCUGAGAGGACGAUCGGCCACACUGGAACUGAGACCCGGCCCAGAGUCCUCCGGGAGGCAGCAGUGGGGAAUUUUGGACAAUGGGCGCAAGCCUGAUCCAGCAAUGCCGCGUGCAGGAUGAAGGCCUUCGGGUUGUAAACUGCUUUUGUACGGAACGAAAAGCCCCGGGUUAAUACCCUGGGGUCAUGACGGUACCGUAAGAAUAAGCACCGGCUAACUACGUGCCAGCAGCCGCCGUAA